Molecule: ribosomal RNA, 253 nt
Filed under: uncultured bacterium
Lineage: Bacteria
Description: partial 16S ribosomal RNA
Rfam family: Bacterial small subunit ribosomal RNA
Source: RNAcentral
UACGGAGGGUGCAAACGUUGCUCGGAAUCAUUGGGCGUAAAGCGCACGUCGGCGGUUCGUUAUGUCGGAUGUGAAAUCCCUCGGCUCAACCGAGGAAGGGCAUCCGAAACUGGCGUGCUUGAGUAUGGAAGAGGGUCUCGGAAUUCCCGGUGUAGCGGUGAAAUGCGUAGAUAUCUGGAGGAACACCGGUGGCGAAGGCGGCAUCCUGGACCAACACUGACACUGAGGAGCGAAAGCCAGGGGAGCAAACGGG